UACGUAGGGUGCAAGCGUUAAUCGGAAUUACUGGGCGUAAAGCGUGCGCAGGCGGUUUUGUAAGUCAGAUGUGAAAUCCCCGGGCUUAACCUGGGAACUGCGUUUGAAACUACAAGGCUAGAGUGUGGCAGAGGGGGGUGGAAUUCCGACGUGUAGCAGUGAAAUGCGUAGAGAUGUGGAGGAACACCGAUGGCGAAGGCAGCCCCCUGGGUUAACACUGACGCUCAGGCACGAAAGCGUGGGGAGCAAACAGG
RNAcentral lists this ribosomal RNA (254 nucleotides) under uncultured bacterium. RNAcentral's name for it is "partial 16S ribosomal RNA". It matches the Rfam family "Bacterial small subunit ribosomal RNA", at positions 524 to 776 of the family's 1533-position model. The record is from RNAcentral.